UUAACCCCUCCUAGGAAAUAUCCCUUCCCAUAGCACUUCAGAGUCUUUGCGGCAACUCUGCUGCAAUGUCCCCAC
This 75-nucleotide small RNA is filed under the name Homo sapiens (human). RNAcentral's name for it is "nc073 non-coding RNA". The record is from RNAcentral. Lineage: Eukaryota; Metazoa; Chordata; Mammalia; Primates; Hominidae.